UGGGGAAUUUUGGACAAUGGGGGAAACCCUGAUCCAGCCAUCCCGCGUGUGUGAUGAAGGCCUUCGGGUUGUAAAUCACUUUUUGCAGGAAAGAAACGUCAUGGGUUAAUACCCCGUGAAACUGACGGUACCUGCAGAAUAAGCACCGGCUAACUACGUGCCAGCAGCCGCGGUAAUACGUAGGGUGCAAGCGUUAAUCGGAAUUACUGGGCGUAAAGCGUGCGCAGGCGGUUCGGAAAGAAAGAUGUGAAAUCCCAGAGCUCAACUUUGGAACUGCAUUUUUAACUACCGGGCUAGAGUGUGUCAGAGGGAGGUGGAAUUCCGCGUGUAGCAGUGAAAUGCGUAGAUAUGCGGAGGAACACCGAUGGCGAAGGCAGCCUCCUGGGAUAACACUGACGCUCAUGCACGAAAGCGUGGGGAGCAAACAGG
RNAcentral lists this ribosomal RNA (429 nucleotides) under Acidobacteriota bacterium. RNAcentral's name for it is "Acidobacteria bacterium partial 16S ribosomal RNA". It matches the Rfam family "Bacterial small subunit ribosomal RNA", at positions 355 to 776 of the family's 1533-position model. The record is from RNAcentral. Lineage: Bacteria; Pseudomonadati; Acidobacteriota.